Non-coding RNA from Nicotiana tabacum (common tobacco), 2133 nucleotides. Lineage: Eukaryota; Viridiplantae; Streptophyta; Magnoliopsida; Solanales; Solanaceae. The record is from RefSeq and is a predicted model, not a curated record.
CCUUCUAUAAAAAAACCUAAGACACCCUAAAUUCUCCCUGGCUGAAGAAGAACGGCGACCUCCUCCUUUUUACAACCAGAAAAAACCAGUCGCCUCUCUCCUCUUCUUCUUCUUUUCUCUCAAGAGGCCACCUGAUUCUACCUCCCUCCUCAAAUUAGCUUCACAAAAAUCAGGAUUUUUGAGAAAAAUCUCGUUAUCUGUGAUUUGUUGGACGAAUCCAGUUGGUUUUCAAGGUCAAAUCGAGUUCUUAAGGGGCUAUUUGUUGCUGCUGUUGCCGAUUGUUGAGUAGCUGCGCCCCAUUCCUCAUUCUAGACCUUUAUUUGGUCAUCCACUACUGUACUGCUAUCAUUAGAAACCAAAAGGGGUUAUUUAGGCUUGAGAUGUAAACUUUUGUCAGAUGGCCGGUAAGGGUCGAGGUAGGUCUAGAAAGGAUAAAAGGCCUAUUGAUCAUGAUGGUGGUGCUACACCCACGCUUUCUUCCACUCCACACUUGCAUCCCUCUGCUGUUGAUGGCCGGCAGCAAUCUUCUAGGCACAAAUCUAUUCCACCACAUCCAUCUACUCAUCUUACUACCCACCAUUCGCCCGCCCAGCAGUAUUAUCACCAUUCUCCGCCACAGGGCUAUACCCUACUUCCUCCUCAUGAUCCUACCAGUACUAACAUGGGUGCAUCGAGUCACCAGUCACAGAGCCAUGUGGUACGCCUGUCAUCUGCUCCAUUUGCUUCAUCUCCAGCUGGAUCACAUUUAUCUAGAUUUCAGUUGUCUGGAUCGCAGUAGGGGUCUAGAUCGAUGCAGGGGUGUGGAUCGCAGCCAUCUUCAUCAGGGACCUCGUCUCCCUCUCCACGGAGUUCGUCUCCUAGCAUUUCUAGAUUUCGUUUUCAGGAAAGUAGCACUGAACCAGAUGCCCCCUUUCUGCGCACGCUUCAGAUUCAUUGGAGGAUGAUGAUCCAGAUGAUGUGCGUUAUGAUCGUUAUCAUAGGAUCAUCAUCAGGCCUGAAGGCAAUGGGUUACAAAGAUAAUCACUGAUAUUCUUGGCGGGUUGUAUAAUGCACCCUAUCUGACUUGGAGUGACUUUCCAGAUGAUCUCGUGCAACAGAUGUUCAACCAAUUUAAGACUAAGUGUGCCUUGUCCGGUAUAACCGUGAAAUUUGUAUAAAUUGUGAGUACAAAUGUCGUAAGAGACACUUUGAUUCCUUCAGCUCCGCUCGAAAGGUUAAAAAGAAGCUUUCAUAGGUUCUACCAGAUGUAUGGGUGGAUCUGCAGAGGUAUUGGGCCACCGAGAAAUUCGAGUAGCAGAGUGAACUGGAAAAGAAGGCUCGAGCAUCUGAGAAGGGUGGCUCCUUGCAUUGUCUGGGUUCAAGGAGCAUGGGGGAUACGAGGAGACAACUGGAAAAAAAGCAUGGGAGGAAGAUGAGUCAUGAUGAGUUCUUCAUGGAGACUCAUAUCCGGAGGAAGAAGGCACCGACAGAUCCAACUAGAUGGGUCGAGGACCAGGCGGAGACUACACAUUGUCGGUACAAGAUUAAUUUGGAGGAGUACACUCAGAGCUUGCCACCGAAUGAGCAAGGCGAGCGACCGCCCAUUUUAGACGAAGAAGCACAGAGGAUAUGGGUGGAUGUUGUCGGUCUUAAAAAGGGGAUAACAUACGGCCUUCCAGAUAAAUAAUUUCGGCGCUAAAGGGCUGGAUUGUAAGGUAUAGGGACUUCUGCCCAAGGCAAGGUGAUUGAUAGGUCGACUAUGUUGUCUAUGGAAUAGAAAAUCGCAAAGCUGACAGCAAAGCUUGAAGAGACAAAGGCUAGAGAAAAAACGAGAGAUGAACAAUUUGGUACCCUUCAAUUUCAGCUAGAAAGGAAGGACGGACAAUUUAAUCUCCUUCAAGGUCAGCUAGCCAAUCUUCUUGCUAGUGGUGCUUUCCCCAUUCCCCGGUCUCGUGAGCCUUCCCCAUGUGCCGACGAUGAAGGUUCUAGGAGUGAAGAUGGAGAUGAUGCUAGAUAAAAAAACUCAUUGAAUGGUGUGUAUUGCUAAACAAAGUAUUGAACUUGUCAAUAUUUAGUUGAGACUAGUUUUGAAUGAUGAUUAUAUUGUUAUUUUGUUAUUGAACAUUUUAGUAGUUGUUGUUGUGGUUGUUAUUA